Molecule: regulatory RNA element, 111 nt
Organism: Streptomyces sparsogenes DSM 40356
Lineage: Bacteria; Bacillati; Actinomycetota; Actinomycetes; Kitasatosporales; Streptomycetaceae
Rfam family: Glycine riboswitch aptamer
About the family: This family represents the bacterial glycine riboswitch. Glycine riboswitches usually consist of two metabolite-binding aptamers domains with similar structures in tandem. The aptamers cooperatively bind glycine to regulate the expression of downstream genes.
Source: Rfam
UGAAUCCGCGCGGGAGAGUCCUCGGCCACCGGCAGCAGUGCCGGCCGUCCGGGGCGCCGAAGGAGCAAGUCCUCCCUUGAAUCUCUCAGGCCCCGAUACCGCGCGGGCGAG